AGAGAUUAAACUGAAGAGUUUGAUCCUGGCUCAGAUUGAACGCUAGCGGGAUGCUUUACACAUGCAAGUCGAACGGCAGCGCGAGAGAGCUUGCUCUCUUGGCGGCGAGUGGCGGACGGGUGAGUAAUAUAUCGGAACGUGCCCAGUAGCGGGGGAUAACUACUCGAAAGAGUGGCUAAUACCGCAUACGCCCUACGGGGGAAAGGGGGGGAUCGCAAGACCUCUCACUAUUGGAGCGGCCGAUAUCGGAUUAGCUAGUUGGUGGGGUAAAGGCUCACCAAGGCAACGAUCCGUAGCUGGUUUGAGAGGACGACCAGCCACACUGGGACUGAGACACGGCCCAGACUCCUACGGGAGGCAGCAGUGGGGAAUUUUGGACAAUGGGGGAAACCCUGAUCCAGCCAUCCCGCGUGUAUGAUGAAGGCCUUCGGGUUGUAAAGUACUUUUGGCAGAGAAGAAAAGGUACCUCCUAAUACGAGGUACUGCUGACGGUAUCUGCAGAAUAAGCACCGGCUAACUACGUGCCAGCAGCCGCGGUAAUACGUAGGGUGCAAGCGUUAAUCGGAAUUACUGGGCGUAAAGCGUGUGUAGGCGGUUCGGAAAGAAAGAUGUGAAAUCCCAGGGCUCAACCUUGGAACUGCAUUUUUAACUGCCGAGCUAGAGUAUGUCAGAGGGGGGUAGAAUUCCACGUGUAGCAGUGAAAUGCGUAGAUAUGUGGAGGAAUACCGAUGGCGAAGGCAGCCCCCUGGGAUAAUACUGACGCUCAGACACGAAAGCGUGGGGAGCAAACAGGAUUAGAUACCCUGGUAGUCCACGCCCUAAACGAUGUCAACUAGCUGUUGGGGCCGUUAGGCCUUAGUAGCGCAGCUAACGCGUGAAGUUGACCGCCUGGGGAGUACGGUCGCAAGAUUAAAACUCAAAGGAAUUGACGGGGACCCGCACAAGCGGUGGAUGAUGUGGAUUAAUUCGAUGCAACGCGAAAAACCUUACCUACCCUUGACAUGUCUGGAAAGCCGAAGAGAUUUGGCCGUGCUCGCAAGAGAACCGGAACACAGGUGCUGCAUGGCUGUCGUCAGCUCGUGUCGUGAGAUGUUGGGUUAAGUCCCGCAACGAGCGCAACCCUUGUCAUUAGUUGCUACGCAAGAGCACUCUAAUGAGACUGCCGGUGACAAACCGGAGGAAGGUGGGGAUGACGUCAAGUCCUCAUGGCCCUUAUGGGUAGGGCUUCACACGUCAUACAAUGGUCGGGACAGAGGGUCGCCAACCCGCGAGGGGGAGCCAAUCUCAGAAACCCGAUCGUAGUCCGGAUCGCAGUCUGCAACUCGACUGCGUGAAGUCGGAAUCGCUAGUAAUCGCGGAUCAGAAUGUCGCGGUGAAUACGUUCCCGGGUCUUGUACACACCGCCCGUCACACCAUGGGAGUGGGUUUCACCAGAAGUAGGUAGCCUAACCGUAAGGAGGGCGCUUACCACGGUGGGAUUCAUGACUGGGGUGAAGUCGUAACAAGGUAGCCGUAUCGGAAGGUGCGGCUGGAUCACCUCCUUUUAGA
RNAcentral lists this ribosomal RNA (1548 nucleotides) under Alcaligenes faecalis. Its description in RNAcentral is "bacterial SSU rRNA". It matches the Rfam family "Bacterial small subunit ribosomal RNA". The record is from RNAcentral. Lineage: Bacteria; Pseudomonadati; Pseudomonadota; Betaproteobacteria; Burkholderiales; Alcaligenaceae.